UGUGUGUGCAUGCCUAUGUGUUUACAUGCAUGUAUGUAUACACACACACACACACACACACACACACACACACAC
Molecule: microRNA precursor, 75 nt
Filed under: Tupaia belangeri (northern tree shrew)
Lineage: Eukaryota; Metazoa; Chordata; Mammalia; Scandentia; Tupaiidae
Description: miRNA (ENSTBEG00000019987.1)
Source: RNAcentral